CAUUUUGAGUUUCACGAAAAAGUAGGAUAGGAACGCGAAAACCUCAAGGCUCUAUCUUAAAUAACAAGCGAGAAACCUGGCUGUCUCACCCAAAAUGGGAUGCACUGUACACUGUUCUCCUACUGUGGUAAUAUUGAUAGAUCUAAAAGAUGGCGUCCCAGAUCUAUUACAGCUGAAUGGCAGCUGAGGGAAACCUGUCUCUACAAUGGUCCUGAGAUUCUCCCAAGUAUCUGCUUUAUAAAAAACUACAAUGUCGUCCGCGAAUCCCAGAACUUCUCCCCCACAUCUCACAUUGAACAAACCAUUUAUGUAUAUACUAAAAAGUAACGGUCCCAAAACCGUACCCUGUGGGAUCCCGAACUCUACUCCUCUCCUGUCACUCAUCACGCUGUCCACCCUCACAGAUUGAGAUCUUCCUGUCAGGGUCUGCAAGAGUAAAUCAUAGCUAACGGUGUCAAAUGCCUUCGACAGGUCGACAAACAUACAAAGACUAGGCUUGCCUUCAUCCAACGCAGCGGACACCAUCGAUGUCAUAGACAACAGGGCAUCCCCCGUGGAAACUCCCUCUCUGAAGCCGAAUUGUUUAUCGGACAAGAAUUUAUACUUAGCGAUGUAAGCAGAUAACCUCUUUUUGAGGACCCUCUCCAUUAUCUUUGACAAAUGAGUUAUUAAAGUGAUUGGUCUGUA
Long non-coding RNA from Harmonia axyridis, 687 nucleotides. RefSeq lists it as uncharacterized. The record is from RefSeq and is a predicted model, not a curated record. NCBI's taxonomy places the organism in Eukaryota, Metazoa, Arthropoda, Insecta, Coleoptera, Coccinellidae. The transcript is spliced from 3 exons.